ACUCCUACGGGAGGCAGCAGUGGGGAAUAUUGCACAAUGGGGGGAAAACCCCUGAUGCAGCCAUGCCGCGUGUGUGAAGAAGGCCUUCGGGUUGUAAAGCACUUUCAGUAGGGAGGAAGGUAGUGUAGUUAACACCUGCACNAUUUUGACGUUUACCUACAGAAGAAGCACCGGCUAACUCCGUGCCAGCAGCCGCGGUAAUACGGAGGGUGCGAGCGUUAAUCGGAAUUACUGGGCGUAAAGCGCAUGCAGGCGGCCUGUUAAGUCAGAUGUGAAAGCCCGGGGCUUAACCUCGGAAUUGCAUUUGAAACUGGCAGGCUAGAGUCUUGUAGAGGGGGUGAGAAUUG
RNAcentral lists this ribosomal RNA (347 nucleotides) under uncultured bacterium. Its description in RNAcentral is "bacterial SSU rRNA". It matches the Rfam family "Bacterial small subunit ribosomal RNA", at positions 335 to 669 of the family's 1533-position model. The record is from RNAcentral.